CAACUCCGGCGGGUGCCCCCGGUGGAGCGCAUCGCAGCUCGGCCGCGCGAGCCGCCGACGUGAAGCGGGAGAGAAGAACCGAAGGAGCCGGUGAGACGCGGCUCGGGCAACAUUUCUCCGUCGCUCCUCGAAAGCACGGUACAUACUGCAUGUGGACAGCAAGCAGAAAUAAAGAAUCUCUUAGAGGAAGAGCUCAUGACCUCAUGAAAGGUGGCGAUAGACAUCAGGAAGAAGGAAAAAGGGUCCACGUCCAUCCUGCAGAGGAG
This is a long non-coding RNA of Pseudoliparis swirei, 266 nucleotides long. RefSeq lists it as uncharacterized. The record is from RefSeq and is a predicted model, not a curated record. The transcript is spliced from 3 exons. NCBI's taxonomy places the organism in Eukaryota, Metazoa, Chordata, Actinopteri, Perciformes, Liparidae.